ACUCAAAGGAAUUGACGGGGGCCCGCACAAGCAGUGGAGUAUGUGGUUUAAUUCGAAGCAACGCGAAGAACCUUACCAGGUCUUGACAUCCGAUGCAUAGCACAGAGAUGUGUGAAAUCCUUCGGGACAUCGAGACAGGUGGUGCAUGGUUGUCGUCAGCUCGUGUCGUGAGAUGUUGGGUUAAGUCCCGCAACGAGCGCAACCCUUAUUGCCAGUUACUACGUUAAGAGGACUCUGGCGAGACUGCCGUUGACAAAACGGAGGAAGGUGGGGAUGACGUCAAAUCAUCAUGCCCUUUAUGACCUGGGCUACACACGUACUACAAUGGCGUUAAACAAAGAGAAGCAAGACCGCGAGGUGGAGCAAAACUCAAAAACAACGUCUCAGUUCAGAUUGCAGGCUGCAACUCGCCUGCAUGAAGUCGGAAUUGCUAGUAAUCGCGGAUCAGCAUGCCGCGGUGAAUACGUUCCCGGGCCUUGCACACACCGCCCGU
This 493-nucleotide ribosomal RNA is filed under the name uncultured bacterium. Its description in RNAcentral is "bacterial SSU rRNA". It matches the Rfam family "Bacterial small subunit ribosomal RNA", at positions 899 to 1397 of the family's 1533-position model. The record is from RNAcentral.